RNAcentral lists this long non-coding RNA (795 nucleotides) under Citrus x clementina. Its description in RNAcentral is "Citrus clementina (C. clementina) long non-coding RNA (CCLE_LNC005682)". The record is from RNAcentral. Lineage: Eukaryota; Viridiplantae; Streptophyta; Magnoliopsida; Sapindales; Rutaceae.
AAUAUAAUUUUUUUUAAGUUUGUAAUUUUAUUUUUUUUAAGAUUUUAAGGAAAUUUUAACUGACGUAAACUAUUAUUGGGGGUAAACUAUUAUUGGGGGUAAUAUUGUCUUUUUAAAGUCAACAGUUAGUCAAUGAAAAUUUUAACUAACGGUAGGGGGUCUUUUACAAAUAAAAUGAUUUUCACCAUCUAUUUGCAACAGCCUCAAACCUCAGGGGAGGUUUUUAAAAAUUACCCUGAUAAAUAACCAUUCCCAAAAAUUUUCGUGUCGCCCACCUGCACCCGACGCGAAGCUCUUCCCCUUUUUCCUUGUUUGGUUUGGAAGUCUGGGCCUAGUUCUUUGUUGAGAAUAUAUAACAAGGAUUAAUUAUUUACAUUGUGACGAGCCUUGCUCUGAUUCGUCCAAAAAAAGCCUGGGACGGCCCAGCUCGCAUAUUUUAAGUAUAGGGGCUCAAAAGUUUAGGGCCCGUACGUUGUGGGCCUCGAGCAAAAAGCCCGGGCUUUAUUAUAUAUAAAAUAAAAAGAGUGGGGCUAUUGGCACCCCUCUAAGUUCCUGAAAAAAUCCCUUUUCUGAGUGCACCGCUUAAAUAUUUUUAUAUGGCAAAUGCUAUGUUACAAUUAAUGUAACAUACACACUCAACAACAACCACACAAAUUGUGUGGGCCCAUUAUUUGUGUGGUUGUUGUUGAGUGUUUAUGUUACAUUAAUUGUAACAUAAGGGCUCCCUUUUUAUAUAUAUAUCACUUCUCAAAAAUCACAUUUUAAUUUCAAAAUUACCCUCAUCACUUUACCCUU